RNAcentral lists this non-coding RNA (32 nucleotides) under Mus musculus (house mouse). Lineage: Eukaryota; Metazoa; Chordata; Mammalia; Rodentia; Muridae. The record is from RNAcentral.
UAAGAGGAUGAAGGAUGAGCAUCCUGCCGGGU